UACGUAGGCAGCAAGCGUUGUUCGGAGUUACUGGGCGUAAAGGGUGUGUAGGCGGUUGUUUAAGUUUGGUGUGAAAUCUCCCGGCUCAACUGGGAGGGUGCGCCGAAUACUGAAUGACUAGAGUGCGGGAGAGGAAAGUGGAAUUCCUGGUGUAGCGGUGAAAUGCGUAGAUAUCAGGAGGAACACCGGUGGUGUAGACGGCUCUCUGGACCGUAACUGACGCUGAGACACGAAAGCGUGGGUAGCAAACAGG
RNAcentral lists this ribosomal RNA (253 nucleotides) under uncultured bacterium. RNAcentral's name for it is "partial 16S ribosomal RNA". It matches the Rfam family "Bacterial small subunit ribosomal RNA", at positions 524 to 776 of the family's 1533-position model. The record is from RNAcentral.